UUUUGGACAAUGGGCGAAAGCCUGAUCCAGCCAUGCCGCGUGCAGGAUGAAGGCCUUCGGGUUGUAAACUGCUUUUGUACCCAACCAAAAGACUCCUUCUAAUAAAGGGGGUCCAUGACGGUACCGUAAGAAUAAGCACCGGCUAACUACGUGCCAGCAGCCGCGGUAAUACGUAGGGUGCAAGCGUUAAUCGGAAUUACUGGGCGUAAAGCGUGCGCAGGCGGUUAUAUAAGACAGAUGUGAAAUCCCCGGGCUCAACCUGGGAACUGCAUUUGUGACUGUAUAGCUAGAGUACGGCAGAGGGGGAUGGAAUUCCGCGUGUAGCAGUGAAAUGGGUAGAUAUGCGGAGGAACACCGAGGCGAAGGCAAUCCCCUGGCCUUACUACGCUCAGCACGAAA
This 399-nucleotide ribosomal RNA is filed under the name uncultured bacterium. RNAcentral describes it as "bacterial SSU rRNA". It matches the Rfam family "Bacterial small subunit ribosomal RNA", at positions 362 to 758 of the family's 1533-position model. The record is from RNAcentral.